GACGAACGCUGGCGGCGUGCCUAAUACAUGCAAGUCGAACGGGAGCGACCGGUGCUUGCACUGGUCAAUCUAGUGGCGAACGGGUGAGUAACACGUGGGUAACCUGCCCAUCAGAGGGGGAUAACAUCCGGAAACGGAUGCUAAAACCGCAUAGGUCUUCGAACCGCAUGGUUUGAAGAGGAAAAGAGGCGCAAGCUUCUGCUGAUGGAUGGACCCGCGGUGCAUUAGCUAGUUGGUGAGGUAACGACUCACCAAGGCCGUGAUGCAUAGCCGACCUGAGAGGGUGAUCGGCCACAUUGGGACUGAGACACGGCCCAAACUCCUACGGGAGGCAGCAGUAGGGAAUCUUCCGCAAAGGACGCAAGUCUGACGGAGCAACGCCGCGUGAGUGAAGAAGGUUUUCGGAUCGUAAAACUCUGUUGUUAGAGAAGAACAAGUGCUAGAGUAACUGUUAGCGCCUUGACGGUAUCUAACCAGAAAGCCACGGCUAACUACGUG
Molecule: ribosomal RNA, 498 nt
Filed under: uncultured bacterium
Lineage: Bacteria
Description: partial 16S ribosomal RNA
Rfam family: Bacterial small subunit ribosomal RNA
Source: RNAcentral